This 253-nucleotide ribosomal RNA is filed under the name uncultured bacterium. RNAcentral's name for it is "partial 16S ribosomal RNA". It matches the Rfam family "Bacterial small subunit ribosomal RNA", at positions 524 to 776 of the family's 1533-position model. The record is from RNAcentral.
UACGUAGGGUGCAAGCGUUAAUCGGAAUUACUGGGCGUAAAGCGUGCGCAGGCGGUUAUGUAAGACAGAUGUGAAAUCCCCGGGCUCAACCUGGGAACUGCAUUUGUGACUGCAUAGCUAGAGUACGGUAGAGGGGGAUGGAAUUCCGCGUGUAGCAGUGAAAUGCGUAGAUAUGCGGAGGAACACCGAUGGCGAAGGCAAUCCCCUGGACCUGUACUGACGCUCAUGCACGAAGGCGUGGGGAGCAAACAGG